GCAAGCGUUGUUCGGAAUUACUGGGCGUAAAGGGCUCGUAGGCGGCCAACUAAGUCAGACGUGAAAUCCCUCGGCUUAACCGGGGAACUGCGUCUGAUACUGGAUGGCUUGAAUCCGGGAGAGGGAUGCGGAAUUCCAGGUGUAGCGGUGAAAUGCGUAGAUAUCUGGAGGAACACCGGUGGCGAAGGCGGCAUCCUGGACCGGCAUUGACGCUGAGGAGCGAAAGCCAGGGGAGCAAACGGG
Molecule: ribosomal RNA, 243 nt
Filed under: uncultured bacterium
Lineage: Bacteria
Description: partial 16S ribosomal RNA
Rfam family: Bacterial small subunit ribosomal RNA
Source: RNAcentral